AUUGAACGCUGGCGGCAUGCCUUACACAUGCAAGUCGAACGGCAGCAUGGAAGAGCUUGCUCUUCUGAUGGCGAGUGGCGAACGGGUGAGUAAAGCAUCGGAACGUACCGUGUAGUGGGGGAUAACCUCGGGAAACCGGGGCUAAUACCGCAUAACAUCACGAGGGGAAGAUCCUUGUGAUCAAAGGAGCAAUUCGCUCAAGGAGGGGGUCGCGGCUGAUUAGCUAGUUGGUGAGGUAACGGCUCACCAAGGCUUAGAUCAGUAGCCGGCCUGAGAGGGCGCACGGCCACACUGGAACUGAAACACGGUCCAGACUCCUACGGGAGGCAGCAGUGGGGAAUUUUGCGCAAUGGGGGAAACCCGUCGACGCAGCAACG
This 377-nucleotide ribosomal RNA is filed under the name uncultured bacterium. Its description in RNAcentral is "bacterial SSU rRNA". It matches the Rfam family "Bacterial small subunit ribosomal RNA", at positions 30 to 396 of the family's 1533-position model. The record is from RNAcentral.